Long non-coding RNA from Sebastes umbrosus (honeycomb rockfish), 1947 nucleotides. RefSeq lists it as uncharacterized. NCBI's taxonomy places the organism in Eukaryota, Metazoa, Chordata, Actinopteri, Perciformes, Sebastidae. The record is from RefSeq and is a predicted model, not a curated record. The transcript is spliced from 3 exons.
CAGGAUCUGCUCUUACAUUUUGCACACACACACACACACACACACACACACACAGAUCACACCCCGUACUUUGGUGGUCUUUUUUUCAACAAAUGAACACUAAUCUUUAUCAGAAACCUGCCCGCACACUCCUCCUCUAAAACCUGCACACACAUACAGACACGCUAGAUGCGUAUCAGCUGUGCUGUGUCAACCGUUCUGAAUUAGCUGUCCGAUAGAUAACUCCCCUGCUUAUCUCCACAGCCACCACACAGAUGUCUGAAUGACGGAGAGAAUGAAGGCGGGGGGAAGAUGAGAGUAAAGAUGGGAAGGAGAGAGAGAGAGAAAGUUAAUGAGGAGACUGGAGGAUGUGCCAGAUUUUAGGUGUUUGAAGAGAGCGUUGCAGAAGCCGCCGAACGAACGAUUUUGAGGAAUCGUGGCUGAUCGGUGCAACUCGUCGCUGCAGGCUUUACACAACCUUCAGUGGGCGUCAUCUAAAAGCAACGGUUCCCAACCUGGGGACCCCUAAAAAAGUGGUCGAAGGGUUAAUAUAAGGGGUUGCAGAACAUAAUGUUACAGCAAGAGCAUAUAGAGUAUGUAAUGUGAGAAGGAAGGAUUCAGUGGAGAGCUCAGAUUCACCUGAUGAAUAUUCAUAAAUGUGACGUCACCGAUGGAGCUCCGUGUCGUCGUCAUAGAGAUUAGAGUGGAUGACGGGAUUAUGGGAGAGUCUCCGCCACACUGGGAUUGGCUGCCACUCUGCUUUUGUUCCUCUUAACUGCCUUUAUAUGUGCCGUUUUGUCACUCAAUCUCUCCCCACCGCUCAUCUCCUCUGCUGCACAGAGAUACUGUGACCAUCGCCCACGUUUCAUUUUUCCAUUUCCCUUUUUUCCCCUUUUCACCCCGGCUCUCUCUCUCUGCUGAUCCUCUUAGCCAUUUUACCCUCUGCCACAUUUUGUGAAACCCCACCCUCCCAUCGAGCAGUAUGCUACUGUAGUAAUUGCUUUCUUCAGCUCCAUUGGCCCAAUAAGAGAAAAUGGCCUCGUAUGCUAAUAGCCCAUAAAAGACACUGAGCAUUUCCCAGCAGGAAUCCCACAUCAGAUUAUGUUAUAGUGCUGUACCAGACAGUAAUGUCUUACCUCUAUGUGCUCUAAAAAUAAAACAGGAAUUUGUGAUAAAAAAAAAAAGAUUUGCUCUGAAUACUGAAGGUCAUUGCAUAGCUGGGACAAAAUAUCAAAGAUUUGUUUAGAUUUGAUGCAGUCCAAUACAAAACCACCUCUAACUUAAGCCUCAAAGACACACACAGAGUGGUGACACAGUGGUGAUAUUAUAACAGGCAAGUUCCUAAUGUUACCCACGAAUACAAGUUUGUGUGUUUGUGUGUGUUUGCGUCCCAGUUGGAUGUUGCUAGAACAGCUGUUUGUCACUGAAUGAGGCUCUGAGGGAGAGUUGCUGCCAGCUUUGAUGUCCUAAUUAUCUAUCCUUGUAGGUAUUUGGUCAUAAACCAAAUUAUUGGACAGAUUUUUUAAUUUUCGACUUGAUCGUGGCACUAGAUGAAAGGUCAGGAGGUCACCAAAGACAUUAGGAUUCAUCAAAUGGGGACCACCAAUGUCUGUACCAAUCCAUCCAGUAAAUGUUGAGAUAAUUCCAUUAUGGAUAAACCAUGGACCAACUGACAUUGACGUCCUCCCUAAAACCCACCAAAAUGUUUUACCUACAUCAUGUGAUGUUAGUUCGUUGUUGCAGCCCAUUCUCAUUAAUUCUCGUCAAAUACCGAGGCUUUGUCACAGCCACUGGCGUUUGAUACCGCCGCCCAAGGCACCCCUUUGCACCGUUGUGAAGCACACCGGUCGUUCCAUCAACGUAAACCCAUCCGCGGCAACAGCCAACACUCUGAGAAAGUGCGCCAGGAGUGUGGUGACGUGGUUUAAAGAGUGAAAAGACACACACCGUGCGGGCGGGAGGGGAGGU